Molecule: ribosomal RNA, 469 nt
Filed under: uncultured bacterium
Lineage: Bacteria
Description: partial 16S ribosomal RNA
Rfam family: Bacterial small subunit ribosomal RNA
Source: RNAcentral
GAUGAACGCUGGCGGCGUGCUUAACACAUGCCAGUCGAACGGUGAACCCGGAGCUUGCUCUGUGGGAUCAGUGGCGAACGGGUGAGUAACACGUGAGCAACCUGCCCCUGACUCUGGGAUAAGCGCUGGAAACGGCGUCUAAUACUGGAUAUGUGACGUGACCGCAUGGUCUGCGUUUGGAAAGAUUUUUCGGUUGGGGAUGGGCUCGCGGCCUAUCAGCUUGUUGGUGAGGUAAUGGCUCACCAAGGCGUCGACGGGUAGCCGGCCUGAGAGGGUGACCGGCCACACUGGGACUGAGACACGGCCCAGACUCCUACGGGAGGCAGCAGUGGGGAAUAUUGCACAAUGGGCGCAAGCCUGAUGCAGCAACGCCGCGUGAGGGAUGACGGCCUUCGGGUUGUAAACCUCUUUUAGCAGGGAAGAAGCGAAAGUGACGGUACCUGCAGAAAAAGCGCCGGCUAACUACGUG